UAUUAAAUAGCCGCAAUUCGUGCUAAGGUAGCAUAAUAAUUUGUCUUUUAAAUGAAGUCUAGUAUAAAUGAUUUAACAUUUUAAUUUACUUAUUUAAUUUAAAUAUUUCAAAAUUUCAUAUAAUGUUAAAAAGCAUUAAUUAAUAAAUAAGACGACAAGACCCUAUUGAAUUUAACUGAAGUUAAACUGGGGAAGUUAAUUAAUUAUUAUUUUAAUUAUUAUUUUUAUAAAAAAAUCCUUAAAUUAGAUUAAUUAAAUUACCAUAGGGAUAACAGCGCAAUUAAAUUUUAAAGUUCUUAUUAAAAAUUUAGAUUACGACCUCGAUGUUGAAUUAAUUUCCUAAUUAAAGCAAAUUUUAAAUAAAGGAAGUCUGUUCGACUUUUAAUUAAUUACAUGAUUUGAGUUCAGACCGGUGUAAACCAGGUCGGUUUCUAUCUAUUAAAAAUUUUUCUUACAGUACGAAAGGGCCUAAGAAUAUAAUAAAAUUAAUUUAUUGGCAGAUAAAUGCAUUAGAAUUAGAAUCUAAUAAAACUAAA
This 536-nucleotide ribosomal RNA is filed under the name Colyttus bilineatus. RNAcentral's name for it is "partial 16S ribosomal RNA". The stretch from base 146 to 440 matches the Rfam family "Archaeal large subunit ribosomal RNA", at positions 2151 to 2715 of the family's 2987-position model. The record is from RNAcentral. Lineage: Eukaryota; Metazoa; Arthropoda; Arachnida; Araneae; Salticidae.